This 93-nucleotide microRNA precursor is filed under the name Aotus nancymaae (Ma's night monkey). Its description in RNAcentral is "miRNA (ENSANAG00000009112.1)". Lineage: Eukaryota; Metazoa; Chordata; Mammalia; Primates; Aotidae. The record is from RNAcentral.
GGAGAAUUGCUUGAACCUGGGAGGUGGAGGUUGCAGUGAGCUGAGAUCACGCCACUGCACUCCAGCCUGGGCAACAGAGCAAUACUCUGUCUC